CUCACCAAGGCAAUCACCCAUCUAAAUCGGAAAAUAUUGCCUGCGGCGCAGUUAAAAAAAUAACUACGUAGAGCAGAGAAGAAGACACUAGGGGAAAAAAGAAGCAAUAAAUUAGAUGAUGUAAAUAGAAGGCCAGGGGUGAAGAACCUUGGAAGACACAAUCUAACCCUCAUUUUCCAAAACCGGCAACUUGCAAAUGCACGUUCUGUUUCUGCUGUCAUCCCAUUCAUUCACUGAACCCAUCCACUCUCGCUCUCUCUUUCUCUCUCUAUUAUGUAUAUAAUUCCUUGGUACUAUUGCUAUUGAAUUGAAUUUUGUUCUUACCGAUCGACCAACAACACAUUACACAUGAACAAAGAAAGAAUAUUAACUUAAACAGGACAAAGGAGAAAGAAACAGAAAAAAAGUGAGGGAAAAGAGAAAAGAUCACUAAUUCAACCCAAACCCAAAAUCCCAUUUAUUCCAAAUUAAUAUCUAUAGAUUCACGCAUCCUUCCUUUUCCGCUACCCCCUAAAUUCCUCGCUUCCUAUCCCAUUCUUCUUUAAAAGGGGAAAAAGAUAAAAAUGAAAACGAAAAGAAAUUUAUUGCAGAUGGGUUUACCUUACAUGCCAUAUUCCUGUUGCUGUAUUAGAUAUUGAGAUCAGCAGAGGCCCUCUCCCGUUCUUUCUUCUCAUUCUUACCGCCACUUUCAUCUUAAAAGCUGCAGGUGCAUCAUUGGAAACGACGUUUCAUAUCCCAUAAAUUGAAGUCAGAUUGAUACGUAAUUUUGCAUUUGUAGAUGCUUCAAAUCUGAAGAAAGUGAGCCAAUUGUUGAGCCUGGCUGUCAGUCCAAGAGUAAUUGCGUCUCACCUGAAACUUGAGCAUCCUUUAGUUGCCUGAUCUGGACUGCAUUGCAGAAUCUUAGUGGUGCUUGAAUCGCAUUGUGCAAUAAAGCAUCCUUUCUAUUGGUUUAAAGAAAUUGGGUUUUGGGUGAUGCAAUUGGGGAGCAUAUUCUUUGGGAUGAAAGGGCUAUGCAAUCACUAACUACAUAUUCAUCUUCAAUCCUUUCUCUGCUGCUGUUUGCCUAAACAUGGUCACAUUUCCGAUUCUACAUUGACUUCGCAUUUCAAAGAGAGUAUCCAGACUAUAGGGGCUGGCUAAAGAAGGGGUUUGAUCUGGGUUUCAUAUAAAGAGGAAUUGUUGAAGGUGUGCAGAUUCAUACUCAAAUAUGAGAGUUGGUAAGUCGGUUGUAGAGAGAAAGAAAGGGGAAUAUGAAGGAUUACAAGGAGGUGGCAGAAAAUCAUUACAGGCGAAAUACUUCAGCUUGGAAUCUCUGCUUCUGCUAAUAUGUCUGACAGCAUCCUUGCUCAUCCUUCCCUUAAUACUUCCACCGUUACCUCCCCCACCUUUCAUGCUGCUACUGCUUCCCAUUGCCAUUUUAACCGUGCUAAUGUUUUUGGCUUUCAUGCCUUCUAACGUUAGGGAUAUUACUUUGUAAAUUGGGGUCUAGAACUGCAACCCCCCAGGGAUACAAUUUUAUUUUUAUUUUUAUUUCCCAAUAGAUAUUUGAAAAUGAAAGAAUUUGUUAUUUGUUA
Molecule: long non-coding RNA, 1574 nt
Organism: Gossypium arboreum
Lineage: Eukaryota; Viridiplantae; Streptophyta; Magnoliopsida; Malvales; Malvaceae
Exons: 2
Source: RefSeq, a predicted model, not a curated record